CUUGUGAUACACAUUGUUCAAUUAAAAAAGGCUAUGAAAAAAGAAAGACCCCAACGUUAUAUAUUUUAGUGGAAAUAUCUGAGACAUGGGGAUCGCUGAUUUGACACGUUUUUGCAAUAUUUGUUUCGUGUGCCUCGUUAUCGAAAUAUGCUGUUUUCUGAUAUGUACAUGUAAAAGCAGUGGAAGCUGUGCUCUGAAUUUUUACAGAGAAAAUGGGAAAUGCAUUGAAUGUCCAAGAGGAUCAUUUGGAUACGACUGUAACCAGACCUGUCCAUAUGGGUAUUUUGGACAACAAUGUAGAAAGAAGUGUCAGUGUUCAUCAAAUCAACGCUGCGACCCAGUUAUCGGAUGUCUUGAAAUAAACCUAUCGAUAACCUCAGAGAGACUAUCAAAACAAUACCUGACUGAAACUCAUAAUG
Magallana angulata is the source of this 419-nucleotide long non-coding RNA. RefSeq lists it as uncharacterized. NCBI's taxonomy places the organism in Eukaryota, Metazoa, Mollusca, Bivalvia, Ostreida, Ostreidae. The record is from RefSeq and is a predicted model, not a curated record. The transcript has 3 exons.